GGAGGAUUACCCAAGUCUGGCUGAAGGGAACGGUCUUGAAAACCGUCAGGCGUGUAAAAGCGUGCGUGGGUUCGAAUCUCACAUCCUCCU
This is a transfer RNA of Streptococcus sp. DD10, 90 nucleotides long. It matches the Rfam family "tRNA". From Rfam's summary of the family: Transfer RNA (tRNA) molecules are approximately 80 nucleotides in length. Their secondary structure includes four short double-helical elements and three loops (D, anti-codon, and T loops). NCBI's taxonomy places the organism in Bacteria, Bacillati, Bacillota, Bacilli, Lactobacillales, Streptococcaceae. The record is from Rfam.